This 568-nucleotide ribosomal RNA is filed under the name Beauveria bassiana. RNAcentral's name for it is "eukaryotic LSU rRNA". The stretch from base 205 to 358 matches the Rfam family "5.8S ribosomal RNA". The record is from RNAcentral. Lineage: Eukaryota; Fungi; Ascomycota; Sordariomycetes; Hypocreales; Cordycipitaceae.
UGUAACAAGGUCUCCGUUGGUGAACCAGCGGAGGGAUCAUUACCGAGUUUUCAACUCCCUAACCCUUCUGUGAACCUACCUAUCGUUGCUUCGGCGGACUCGCCCCAGCCCGGACGCGGACUGGACCAGCGGCCCGCCGGGGACCUCAAACUCUUGUAUUCCAGCAUCUUCUGAAUACGCCGCAAGGCAAAACAAAUGAAUCAAAACUUUCAACAACGGAUCUCUUGGCUCUGGCAUCGAUGAAGAACGCAGCGAAACGCGAUAAGUAAUGUGAAUUGCAGAAUCCAGUGAAUCAUCGAAUCUUUGAACGCACAUUGCGCCCGCCAGCAUUCUGGCGGGCAUGCCUGUUCGAGCGUCAUUUCAACCCUCGACCUCCCCUUGGGGAGGUCGGCGUUGGGGACCGGCAGCACACCGCCGGCCCUGAAAUGGAGUGGCGGCCCGUCCGCGGCGACCUCUGCGCAGUAAUACAGCUCGCACCGGAACCCCGACGCGGCCACGCCGUAAAACACCCAACUUCUGAACGUUGACCUCGAAUCAGGUAGGACUACCCGCUGAACUUAAGCAUAUC